Molecule: ribosomal RNA, 502 nt
Filed under: uncultured bacterium
Lineage: Bacteria
Description: bacterial SSU rRNA
Rfam family: Bacterial small subunit ribosomal RNA
Source: RNAcentral
UGCAGGAUGAAGGCCUUCGGGUUGUAAACUGCUGUCACGCUAUAGGAACCGCUGAGGGUUAACAGCGCUCAGCCUGACUAAAGCGAGAGGAAGCACCGGCCAACUCUGUGCCAGCAGCCGCGGUAAGACAGAGGGUGCAAACGUUGUUCGGAAUCACUGGGCAUAAAGCGCACGUAGGCGGCCGACUAAGUCAGGUGUGAAAUCCCCCGGCUCAACCGGGGGAACUGCAUUUGAUACUGGUUGGCUCGAGGUUGGUAGGGGUGGAUGGAACUCCAGGUGGAGCGGUGAAAUGCGUAGAUAUCUGGAGGAACACCGGAGGCGAAAGCGAUCCACUGGGCCAGAUCUGACGCUGAGGUGCGAAAGCUAGGGUAGCAAACGGGAUUAGAUACCCCGGUAGUCCUAGCCGUAAACGAUGGGUACUAGGCAAGGGGGCCACCUAUGUGCCUCUUUGCCGUAGCAAGUGUGUUAAGUACCCCGCCUGGGGAGUAUGCUCGCAAGGGUA